AGCAGCCGCGGUAAUUCCAGCUCCAAUAGCGUAUAUUAAAGUUGUUGCAGUUAAAAAGCUCGUAGUUGAAUUUCGGGAUCAGUACGCUGGUCGUGCCUUUGGUACGUACUGGUGUCACUGAUUCCUCCCUUCUGAAGAACCGUUAUGCCAUUUAUUUGGUGUGGCGGGGAAUCAGGACUGUUACUUUGAAAAAAUUAGAGUGUUUAAAGCAGGCUCGCGCUUGAAUACAUUAGCAUGGAAUAAUGAAAUAGGACGUUUGAUCUUAUUUUGUUGGUUUCUAGGAUCGACGUAAUGAUUAAUAGGGAUAGUUGGGGGCAUUAGUAUUCAAUUGUCAGAGGUGAAAUUCUUGGAUUUAUUGAAGACUAACUACUGCGAAAGCAUUUGCCAAGGAUGUUUUCAUUAAUCAAGAACGAAAGUUAGGGGAUCGAAGACGAUCAGAUACCGUCGUAGUCUUAACCAUAAACUAUGCCGACUAGGGAUCGGAUGAUGUUAUUUUUAAUGACUCAUUCGGCGCCUUAAC
Molecule: ribosomal RNA, 520 nt
Filed under: uncultured Glomus
Lineage: Eukaryota; Fungi; Glomeromycota; Glomeromycetes; Glomerales; Glomeraceae
Description: SSU rRNA
Rfam family: Eukaryotic small subunit ribosomal RNA
Source: RNAcentral